GGAAUUGAUAAAAUUAAAGUUUAUAAGUACAAUAACCAUGGAUGAAACUAACCUCAACUGCUAUAGCGUGAAAUCACAUAAAUUUGAUACCAGAGCAAAGUUAGCAUGUAAGGCACGGCUCGUUUUGCUAUGCAAUUAAUGCUUUUUUUAUUUUGAGGGAAGUGGAGGGAAAAGAAAAGAAAAGGAAAUUCAUUUCUUUAAUUUCUUUUGUUUGGACAGCAAUUA
This 225-nucleotide unclassified non-coding RNA is filed under the name Hevea brasiliensis (rubber tree). The record is from RNAcentral. Lineage: Eukaryota; Viridiplantae; Streptophyta; Magnoliopsida; Malpighiales; Euphorbiaceae.